This 480-nucleotide ribosomal RNA is filed under the name uncultured bacterium. Its description in RNAcentral is "bacterial SSU rRNA". It matches the Rfam family "Bacterial small subunit ribosomal RNA", at positions 32 to 523 of the family's 1533-position model. The record is from RNAcentral.
AAUCAACGCUGGCGGCGUGCCUCAGACAUGCAAGUCGAACGAUUAAAGCUCCCUUCGGGGAGUGCAUAAAGUGGCGCACGGGUGAGUAACACGUAAGUAAUCUACCCUCGGGUGGGGAAUAACAUCGGGAAACCGAUGCUAAUACCGCAUAAUGCAGCGGCACCGCAAGGUGACAGUUGUUAAAGAUUUAUUGCCUGGGGAGGAGCUUGCGGCAGAUUAGCNGUUGGUAAGGUAACGGCUUACCAAGGCUACGAUCUGUAUCCGGUCUAAGAGGACGGUCGGACACACUGACACUGAAUAACGGGUCAGACUCCUACGGGAGGCAGCAGUCGGGAAUUUUGGGCAAUGGGGGAAACCCUGACCCAGCAACGCCGCGUGAAGGAUGAAGUAUUUCGGUAUGUAAACUUCGAAAGAAUAGGAAGAAUUAAUGACGGUACUAUUUAUAAGGUCCGGCUAACUACGUGCCAGCCGCCGCGGUAA